UGUCAGCCUCCAGCAACGGCUUCUCACUCCCCCUUCCUAAUUUGCUGAUUGUCAUUCAUCCAUGACUAAGAAAUUAGAAAGACCCAGAUCAGACAGUCAAUGCUGAAGAUCAACAGGAUGACCAAUGCCACAGUCAGAGCCAAGUGAAUGUGAAAAGAACUAUCAUAAGACCCAGGGUGUUCUCCAGGCCCAUAGGAGGCACGUGUGUCCUCACCACAGCCAUACCUCUCAGCACCCCCAUCUCCCAGUCCUCGUUCCGCUGUUCCAGUGAAAUCAGAUGGGACCAGCCAGCACAUCAGCAAGUCACCCGCUUGGAGACCAGGAUGCCCGCCUCCCCUU
This is a long non-coding RNA of Lutra lutra (Eurasian river otter), 339 nucleotides long. RefSeq lists it as uncharacterized. The record is from RefSeq and is a predicted model, not a curated record. NCBI's taxonomy places the organism in Eukaryota, Metazoa, Chordata, Mammalia, Carnivora, Mustelidae. The transcript has 3 exons.